Long non-coding RNA from Fukomys damarensis (Damara mole-rat), 462 nucleotides. RefSeq lists it as uncharacterized. Lineage: Eukaryota; Metazoa; Chordata; Mammalia; Rodentia; Bathyergidae. The record is from RefSeq and is a predicted model, not a curated record. The transcript is spliced from 3 exons.
CGACUGUCCGGCCGCUGGGCUCAGUGGGGAUGAGUCUGAACUUAGAAGCAGAGUGGCAUUACCUAUAGAGGCCGCGUCAGAAGCACGCUGCCUCUGGACCGUGACCACCGGCCUGGCACCUGCUCGGUGUCCCUGCGGCUCCAGCACUCCGGCUCCUCAGCCCCUCUGCUCAACGCCUACCUCCCUGGGGCCCCCAGGACAUGGGACCCGAGUGUCCACCUGAGGGCCUCUCAAGGACAGAGACGUGGCCUCCAGCCCGGCCCCCUGCUCCUGCCUGCCCUGACCUGGGCCUGGCUGCAGAUGCCAGGGGCUUGAGGCCCCGCCUGCGGGACAGAGGACUGGGGUGGGGCUAUCAGGGAAGGGGGAUCACCCAGAUCCGACAUCUGGGGAGAGUCCCUCACCCUCCCACCCUGCUCCCUCCUCUCCUUCCCCCACCUCCCUUCUCUGACGUCUUCUACCUUU